UACAGAGGUCCCGAGCGUUGUUCGGAUUCACUGGGCGUAAAGGGUGCGUAGGUGGUGAGGUAAGUCGGAUGUGAAAGCUCGGAGCUCAACUCCGAAAUGGCAUUGGAAACUACCUUGCUCGAGGGUUGGAGGGGGGACUGGAAUGCUUGGUGUAGCAGUGAAAUGCGUAGAUAUCAAGCGGAACACCAGUGGCGAAGGCGAGUCCCUGGACAACUCCUGACACUGAGGCACGAAAGCUAGGAGAGCAAACAGG
RNAcentral lists this ribosomal RNA (253 nucleotides) under uncultured bacterium. RNAcentral describes it as "partial 16S ribosomal RNA". It matches the Rfam family "Bacterial small subunit ribosomal RNA", at positions 524 to 776 of the family's 1533-position model. The record is from RNAcentral.